UACGUAGGCAGCGAGCGUUGUUCGGAGUUACUGGGCGUAAAGGGUGUGUAGGCGGUCUUUUAAGUUUGGUGUGAAAUCUCCCGGCUUAACCGGGAGGGUGCGCCGAAUACUGAGGGACUAGAGUGCGGGAGAGGAAAGUGGAAUUCCUGGUGUAGCGGUGAAAUGCGUAGAUAUCAGGAGGAACACCGGUGGUGUAGACGGCUUUCUGGACCGUAACUGACGCUGAGACACGAAAGCGUGGGUAGCAAACAGG
This 253-nucleotide ribosomal RNA is filed under the name uncultured bacterium. Its description in RNAcentral is "partial 16S ribosomal RNA". It matches the Rfam family "Bacterial small subunit ribosomal RNA", at positions 524 to 776 of the family's 1533-position model. The record is from RNAcentral.